This 253-nucleotide ribosomal RNA is filed under the name uncultured bacterium. RNAcentral's name for it is "partial 16S ribosomal RNA". It matches the Rfam family "Bacterial small subunit ribosomal RNA", at positions 524 to 776 of the family's 1533-position model. The record is from RNAcentral.
UAAGGAGGGUGGAAGCAGUUAUCGGAAUUACUGGGAGUAAAGCGUGCGUAGGCGGCUGCUUAAGUCAGAUGUGAAAGCCCCGGGCUUAACAUGGGAACGGCAUUUGAUACUGGGCAGCUCGAGUUGAGUAGAGGAGAGGGGAAUUUCCGGUGUAGCGGUGAAAUGCGUAGAGAUCGGAAGGAACACCAGUGGCGAAGGCGCCUCUCUGGACUCAAACUUACGCUGAGGUACGAAAGCGUGGGUAGCAAACAGG